GAUGAACGCUGGCGGCGUGCCUAAUACAUGCGAGUCGAGCGAACGGACGAGAAGCUUGCUUCUCUGAUGUUAGCGGCGGACGGGUGAGUAACACGUGGAUAACCUACCUAUAAGACUGGGAUAACUUCGGGAAACCGGAGCUAAUACCGGAUAAUAUUUUGAAUCGCAUGGUUCAAAAGUGAAAGACGGUCUUGCUGUCACUUAUAGAUGGAUCCGCGCUGCAUUAGCUAGUUGGUAAGGUAACGGCUUACCAAGGCAACGAUGCAUAGCCGACCUGAGAGGGUGAUCGGCCACACUGGAACUGAGACACGGUCCAGACUCCUACGGGAGGCAGCAGUAGGGAAUCUUCCGCAAUGGGCGAAAGCCUGACGGAGCAACGCCGCGUGAGUGAUGAAGGUCUUCGGAUCGUAAAACUCUGUUAUUAGGGAAGAACAUAUGUGUAAGUAACUGUGCACAUCUUGACGGUACCUAAUCAGAAAGCCACGGCUAACUACGUG
This 497-nucleotide ribosomal RNA is filed under the name uncultured bacterium. RNAcentral describes it as "partial 16S ribosomal RNA". It matches the Rfam family "Bacterial small subunit ribosomal RNA", at positions 28 to 507 of the family's 1533-position model. The record is from RNAcentral.